UCAAUUUUAUUAAAAGGUGGAAUUAAUAUAUGCUUUUCUUAUUGUUUUUAGAAAAGCACAUCUUAGUGGCAACACUGCAGCUGUUACUACCAACAUCUGGAUCAGAGAUUCCGGUGUGCCUACCUCCUCCUGGGUUAGCAGGAGAAUGAAGAUGCGGAAGGAAGGGUGGAGAGAGGCCCCAGGGCUGUGCUAUAUGCUCCUCACAGAUGGGUCUCCAGAGUGCCCUACCAUUUUGAGGAACACAUUUGGUCCAUAUCACUUGAUUUCCA
This 269-nucleotide long non-coding RNA is filed under the name Ictidomys tridecemlineatus (thirteen-lined ground squirrel). Its description in RNAcentral is "lncRNA (ENSSTOG00000031240.1)". Lineage: Eukaryota; Metazoa; Chordata; Mammalia; Rodentia; Sciuridae. The record is from RNAcentral.